Molecule: ribosomal RNA, 253 nt
Filed under: uncultured bacterium
Lineage: Bacteria
Description: partial 16S ribosomal RNA
Rfam family: Bacterial small subunit ribosomal RNA
Source: RNAcentral
UACGUAGGGUGCGAGCGUUAAUCGGAAUUACUGGGCGUAAAGCGUGCGCAGGCGGUUCGUUAAGUCAGCUGUGAAAGCCCCGGGCUCAACCUGGGAAUGGCAUUGGAAACUGGCGACCUAGAGUGCGGUAGAGGGUAGUGGAAUUCCCGGUGUAGCAGUGAAAUGCGUAGAGAUCGGGAGGAACAUCCGUGGCGAAGGCGACUACCUGGACCAGCACUGACACUGAGGCACGAAAGCGUGGGGAGCAAACAGG